RNAcentral lists this ribosomal RNA (293 nucleotides) under uncultured bacterium. RNAcentral's name for it is "partial 16S ribosomal RNA". The record is from RNAcentral.
GGACUACCGGGGUAUCUAAUCCCGUUCGCUCCCCUAGCUUUCGCCCCCGAGCGUCAGGUACCAGCCAGGACACUGCCUUCGCCUUUGGUGUUCUUCCAGAUAUCUACGCAUUUCACCACUACACCUGGAGUUCCAUGUCCCUCUCUGGUCCUCACAGUCCUGCCGUCUUUGCACACCUCGCCCAGUUAAGCUGGGCACUGUCAGUGCAAACGCGCAGCACCGCCUGCGGGCGCUUUACGCCCAGUAACUCCGGACAACGCUUGUCCCCUACGUAUUACCGCGGCGGCUGGCAC